RNAcentral lists this ribosomal RNA (406 nucleotides) under uncultured bacterium. RNAcentral describes it as "partial 16S ribosomal RNA". It matches the Rfam family "Bacterial small subunit ribosomal RNA", at positions 30 to 526 of the family's 1533-position model. The record is from RNAcentral.
AUUGAACGCUGGCGGCAGGCCUAACACAUGCAAGUCGAACGAGAGGCGGACGGGUGAGUAAUAUCUGUGAAACUGCCCGAUGGGGGGGGAUAACUCCUGGAAACGGUAGCUCAUACAGCAUACGAUCUGAUGUGCCCAGAUGGGAUUAGCUUGUAGGUGUGGUAACGGCUCACCUAGGCGCCGAUCCCUAGCUGGUCUGUGAGGAUGACCAGCCACACUGGAACGGAGACACGGUCCAGAAUCCUACGGGAGGCAGCAGUGGGGAAUAUUGCACAAUGGGCGCAAGCCUGAUGCAGCCAUGCCGCGUGUAUGAAGAAGGCCUUCGGGUUGUAAAGUACUUUCAGCGGGGAGGCGUUACCCGCAGAAGAAGCACCGGCUAACUUCGUGCCAGCAGCCGCGGUAAUAC